This 734-nucleotide ribosomal RNA is filed under the name Corynebacterium auris. RNAcentral describes it as "bacterial SSU rRNA". It matches the Rfam family "Bacterial small subunit ribosomal RNA", at positions 43 to 788 of the family's 1533-position model. The record is from RNAcentral. Lineage: Bacteria; Bacillati; Actinomycetota; Actinomycetes; Mycobacteriales; Corynebacteriaceae.
CGUGCUUAACACAUGCAAGUCGAACGGAAAGGCUCCCGCUUGCGGGGGUACUCGAGUGGCGAACGGGUGAGUAACACGUGGGUGAUCUGCCCUGUACUUCGGGAUAAGCCUGGGAAACUGGGUCUAAUACUGGAUAGGACUGCUGGUUGGUGCUGGUGGUGGAAAGCUUUUGCGGUAUGGGAUGAGCUCGCGGCCUAUCAGCUUGUUGGUGGGGUAAUGGCCUACCAAGGCGUCGACGGGUAGCCGGCCUGAGAGGGUGUACGGCCACAUUGGGACUGAGAUACGGCCCAGACUCCUACGGGAGGCAGCAGUGGGGAAUAUUGCACAAUGGGCGCAAGCCUGAUGCAGCGACGCCGCGUGGGGGAUGACGGCCUUCGGGUUGUAAACUCCUUUCGCCAGGGACGAAGCGUUUUGUGACGGUACCUGGAUAAGAAGCACCGGCUAACUACGUGCCAGCAGCCGCGGUAAUACGUAGGGUGCGAGCGUUGUCCGGAAUUACUGGGCGUAAAGAGCUCGUAGGUGGUUUGUCGCGUCGUUUGUGUAAGUCCAUGGCUUAACUGUGGGACUGCAGGCGAUACGGGCAUAACUUGAGUGCUGUAGGGGAGACUGGAAUUCCUGGUGUAGCGGUGAAAUGCGCAGAUAUCAGGAGGAACACCGAUGGCGAAGGCAGGUCUCUGGGCAGUAACUGACGCUGAGGAGCGAAAGCAUGGGUAGCGAACAGGAUUAGAUACCCU